RNAcentral lists this ribosomal RNA (252 nucleotides) under uncultured bacterium. RNAcentral describes it as "partial 16S ribosomal RNA". It matches the Rfam family "Bacterial small subunit ribosomal RNA", at positions 524 to 776 of the family's 1533-position model. The record is from RNAcentral.
UACGGAGGAUGCGAGCGUUGUCCGGAUUUAUUGGGUUUAAAGGGUGCGUAGGCGGGAUGCCAAGUCAGCGGUAAAAAUGCGGUGCUCAACGCCGUCGAGCCGUUGAAACUGGCGUUCUUGAGUGGGCGAGAAGUAUGCGGAAUGCGUGGUGUAGCGGUGAAAUGCAUAGAUAUCACGCAGAACUCCGAUUGCGAAGGCAGCAUACCGGCGCCCUACUGACGCUGAGGCACGAAAGCGUGGGUAUCGAACAGG